This 387-nucleotide ribosomal RNA is filed under the name uncultured bacterium. Its description in RNAcentral is "bacterial SSU rRNA". It matches the Rfam family "Bacterial small subunit ribosomal RNA", at positions 790 to 1167 of the family's 1533-position model. The record is from RNAcentral.
GUAGUCUUGGCUGUAAACGGUGCGUAUUUGCUGUAAACGGAAUCGACCCCGUUUGUGGCGUAGCUAACGCGAUAAAUACGCCGCCUGGGAAGUACGGUCGCAAGAUUAAAACUCAAAGAAAUUGACGGGGGCCUGCACAAGCGGUGGAGUAUGUGGCUUAAUUCGAUGCAACGCGAAGAACCUUACCUGGCCUUGACAUGCAUGUGGUAGAACCAUGAAAGUGGGACGACCCCGCAAGGGGAGCAUGCACAGGUGCUGCAUGGCUGUCGUCAGCUCGUGUCGUGAGAUGUUGGGUUAAGUCCCGCAACGAGCGCAACCCUUGUGUCCUGUUGCCACUCCUACGAGAGUAGGGAGCACUCUGGACAGACUGCCUCGCUUAAACGAGGA